This 1373-nucleotide unclassified non-coding RNA is filed under the name uncultured Neocallimastigales. RNAcentral's name for it is "partial contains small subunit ribosomal RNA, internal transcribed spacer 1, 5.8S ribosomal RNA, internal transcribed spacer 2, and large subunit ribosomal RNA". The stretch from base 603 to 1373 matches the Rfam family "Eukaryotic large subunit ribosomal RNA", at positions 1 to 628 of the family's 3401-position model. The record is from RNAcentral. Lineage: Eukaryota; Fungi; Neocallimastigomycota; Neocallimastigomycetes; Neocallimastigales.
UUUCCGUAGGUGAACCUGCGGAAGGAUCAUUAAAAAAUGUGGUACCAUUUGUUGGUACUAAUUAAUCAUCCUACCCUUUGUGAAUUUGUUUGUAACGAAUUUUUUAAAUGGUCUUUCCCUAAGUUGGAUUGUAGUAAAAAUACAAAAGACUUAGGGGAAUGACUUUUUAAAAGACUUUUUUUUUAAAUUAAACUUUUUGUAUUCAUUUGUCUAAAAUUUAUUUUAUAAUAUAAAAACAACUUUUGACAAUGGAUCUCUUGGUUCUCGCAACGAUGAAGAACGCAGCAAAAUGCGAUAAGUAGUGUGAAUUGCAGAAUACGUGAGUCAUCGAAUCUUCGAACGCAUAUUGCACUUUUUUAGUUACUAAAAAAGUAUGUCUGUUUGAGUAUCAGUAAAAUAUUCUCACAAAAACAAUUUGUUUUUGUGGUUAUGAGUGUUUUACAACGAUAACAAGUUGUUUCACUUUAAAUUCUUUUUAAUUGAAUUUUACCAAUUCAUAAAUUAAAUUGGAUAAAAUUUUCCUUUAACGAGGAAUAACCUAAACAAUUUUAAAUUUAUGGAUUAAUAAACAUUCAUCAAAGGAAUCUAUACAACAAAUAACUUGAUCUCAAAUCAGAUAAGAGUACCCGCUGAACUUAAGCAUAUCAAUAAGCGGAGGAAAAGAAACUAACAAGGAUUCCCUUAGUAACGGCAAGUGAAGCGGGAAGAGCUCAAUUUGAAUCUUCAAGGUUUGACCUUGACGAAUUGUAGUUUAUAGAAGUGUUUCUGUUGGAGUUUUGGUAAAAGUUCUUUGAAAUAGGACAUCAUAGAGGGUGAGAAUCCCGUAUUUGACCAUGACUUUCCAGCUGUGUGAUACACUUUCAAAGAGUCGGAUUGUUUGGGAAUGCAGUCCAAAAUGGGUGGUAAAUUUCAUCUAAAGCUAAUAUUGGCGAGAGACCGAUAGCGAACAAGUACCGUGAGGGAAAGAUGAAAAGAACUUUGAAAAGAGAGUUAAACAGUACGUGAAAUUGUCAAAAGGGAAGCGUUUGACACCAGUGUUGUUUCUCGAAAAUCAAUUUAAUGAGUUCUUGUUUUUAAGUUAUUGUGACUUGUCAGCGCAUUUCUUAUUUUACUUGACUCAUUGAAUGCACUUUUCGUUUAACAAGUCAACAUCAAUUUCCUUGGUGGUAAAAAGUUUAAAGGAAGGUGGCUUGGACUUCGGUUCAAGUGUUUAUAGCCUUUUUUCUAUGCCAUCGGAGAGAUUGAGGUCGCAGCGUAGAUCCUUCGGGUUAGAUACCUUUAGUGCUAAGUUAUAGUUUUUAUAGACAACUUGUUGACUAUAAUUAACCUGUAAUUUACUCGCUUAGGCUAUUUUACCUACGCUUAGGAUGUUG